GAUGAACGCUGGCGGCGUGCCUAAUACAUGCAAGUCGAGCGAACAGAUGAGGAGCUUGCUCCUCUGACGUUAGCGGCGGACGGGUGAGUAACACGUGGAUAACCUACCUAUAAGACUGGGAUAACUUCGGGAAACCGGAGCUAAUACCGGAUAAUAUAUUGAACCGCAUGGUUCAAUAGUGAAAGACGGUUUUGCUGUCACUUAUAGAUGGAUCCGCGCCGCAUUAGCUAGUUGGUAAGGUAACGGCUUACCAAGGCAACGAUGCGUAGCCGACCUGAGAGAGGAGUAGGCAAAAGUGGAACGAGGAAAGGGUCCGGACUCCAACGGAAGGCAGCAGGAGGGAAUCUGCCGAAAGGGGCGAAAGCCUGACGAAGCAACGCGGCGGGGGUGAGGAAGGUCUUCGGUUCGUAAAACUCUGUGAUUAGGAAAGAAAAAAUGUGGAAGUAACUAUGCACGUCUUGACGGUACCUAAUCAUAAAGCCACGGCUAACUACGU
This 496-nucleotide ribosomal RNA is filed under the name uncultured bacterium. Its description in RNAcentral is "partial 16S ribosomal RNA". It matches the Rfam family "Bacterial small subunit ribosomal RNA", at positions 28 to 506 of the family's 1533-position model. The record is from RNAcentral.